GACGAACGCUGGCGGCGUGCUUAACACAUGCAAGUCGAACGAUGACGACCGAGCUUGCUCGGUCAGAUUAGUGGCGAACGGGUGAGUAACACGUGAGCAACCUGCCCUUCACUCUGGGAUAACCUCGGGAAAUCGGGGCUAAUACCGGAUAUGAGCUCCUGUCGCAUGGCGUGUGUUGGAAAGUUUUUCGGUGAAGGAUGGGCUCGCGGACUAUCAGUUUGUUGGUGAGGUAGUGGCUCACCAAGGCGAUGACGGGUAGCCGGCCUGAGAGGGCGACCGGCCACACUGGGACUGAGACACGGCCCAGACUCCUACGGGGGGCAGCAGUGGGGAAUAUUGCACAAUGGGCGAAAGCCUGAUGCAGCGACGCCGCGUGAGGGAUGACGGCCUUCGGGUUGUAAACCUCUUUCAGCAGGGAAGAAGCGAAAGUGACGGUACCUGCAGAAGAAGCGCCGGCUAACUACGUG
This 467-nucleotide ribosomal RNA is filed under the name uncultured bacterium. Its description in RNAcentral is "partial 16S ribosomal RNA". It matches the Rfam family "Bacterial small subunit ribosomal RNA", at positions 28 to 507 of the family's 1533-position model. The record is from RNAcentral.